Molecule: small nucleolar RNA, 138 nt
Filed under: Gambusia affinis (western mosquitofish)
Lineage: Eukaryota; Metazoa; Chordata; Actinopteri; Cyprinodontiformes; Poeciliidae
Description: Small nucleolar RNA SNORA15 (ENSGAFG00000010657.1)
Rfam family: Small nucleolar RNA SNORA15 (bases 1-76)
About the family: ACA15 is a member of the H/ACA class of snoRNA that guide the sites of modification of uridines to pseudouridines.
Source: RNAcentral
GCAUGGCUGAAUUCUGUGUUACUUUGAAUGUAGUAUAUACAGUCAGACACCAUGCUAAAUUACUGCUCUCACAAACUGGCACGACAAGAUCAGAGUGGUUAUUACGUCCCUCGUUCUUAUGUCAGAGUGACAACACAU